RNAcentral lists this ribosomal RNA (497 nucleotides) under uncultured bacterium. RNAcentral's name for it is "partial 16S ribosomal RNA". It matches the Rfam family "Bacterial small subunit ribosomal RNA", at positions 28 to 507 of the family's 1533-position model. The record is from RNAcentral.
GAUGAACGCUGGCGGCGUGCCUAAUACAUGCAAGUCGAGCGAACAGACGAGGAGCUUGCUCCUUUGACGUUAGCGGCGGACGGGUGAGUAACACGUGGAUAACCUACCUAUAAGACUGGGAUAACUUCGGGAAACCGGAGCUAAUACCGGAUAAUAUUUUGAACCGCAUGGUUCGAUAGUGAAAGACGGCUUUGCUGUCACUUAUAGAUGGAUCUGCGCCGCAUUAGCUAGUUGGUAAGGUAACGGCUUACCAAGGCGACGAUGCGUAGCCGACCUGAGAGGGUGAUCGGCCACACUGGAACUGAGACACGGUCCAGACUCCUACGGGAGGCAGCAGUAGGGAAUCUUCCGCAAUGGGCGAAAGCCUGACGGAGCAACGCCGCGUGAGUGAUGAAGGUCUUCGGAUCGUAAAACUCUGUUAUUAGGGAAGAACAAAUGUGUAAGUAACUGUGCACGUCUUGACGGUACCUAAUCAGAAAGCCACGGCUAACUACGUG